UCCUACGGGAGGCAGCAGUGGGGAAUAUUGCACAAUGGGGGGAACCCUGAUGCAGCCGUGCCGCGUGUGUGAAGAAGGCCUUCGGGUUGUAAAGCACUUUCAGUUGUGAGGAAAGGUUGGUAGUUAAUACCUGCCAGCUGUGACGUUAACAACAGAAGAAGCACCGGCUAACUCCGUGCCAGCAGCCGCGGUAAUACGGAGGGUGCGAGCGUUAAUCGGAAUUACUGGGCGUAAAGCGCACGCAGGCGGUUCGUUAAGCUAGAUGUGAAAGCCCCGGGCUCAACCUGGGAUGGUCAUUUAGAACUGGCAGACUAGAGUCUUGGAGAGGGGAGUGGAAUUCCAGGUGUAGCGGUGAAAUGCGUAGAUAUCUGGAGGAACAUCAGUGGCGAAGGCGACUCCCUGGCCAAAGACUGACGCUCAUGUGCGAAAGUGUGGGUAGCGAACAGGAUUAGAUACCCUGGUAGUCCACACCGUAAACGCUGUCUACUAGCUGUGUGUGCCUUUAAGGCGUGCGUAGCGAAGCUAACGCGCUAAGUAGACCGCCUGGGGAGUACGGCCGCAAGGUUAAAACUCAAAUGAAUUGACGG
RNAcentral lists this ribosomal RNA (587 nucleotides) under uncultured bacterium. RNAcentral's name for it is "bacterial SSU rRNA". It matches the Rfam family "Bacterial small subunit ribosomal RNA", at positions 337 to 916 of the family's 1533-position model. The record is from RNAcentral.